This 490-nucleotide ribosomal RNA is filed under the name uncultured bacterium. Its description in RNAcentral is "partial 16S ribosomal RNA". It matches the Rfam family "Bacterial small subunit ribosomal RNA", at positions 30 to 507 of the family's 1533-position model. The record is from RNAcentral.
AUUGAACGCUGGCGGCAUGCUUUACACAUGCAAGUCGAACGGCAGCACGAAAGAGCUUGCUCUUUUGGUGGCGAGUGGCGAACGGGUGAGUAAUGCAUCGGAACGUACCGAGUAAUGGGGGAUAACUGUCCGAAAGGAUAGCUAAUACCGCAUACGCUUUGAGAAGGAAAGUGGGGGCUCUUCGGACCUCACGUUAUUCGAGCGGCCGAUGUCUGAUUAGCUAGUUGGUAGGGUAAAGGCCUACCAAGGCGACGAUCAGUAGCGGGUCUGAGAGGAUGAUCCGCCACACUGGGACUGAGACACGGCCCAGACUCCUACGGGAGGCAGCAGUGGGGAAUUUUGGACAAUGGGCGCAAGCCUGAUCCAGCCAUGCCGCGUGUCUGAAGAAGGCCUUCGGGUUGUAAAGGACUUUUGUUAGGGAAGAAAAGGAUAGUGUUAAUACCAUUAUCUGCUGACGGUACCUAAAGAAUAAGCACCGGCUAACUACGUG